GAUGAAGAACGUAGUGAAAUGCGAUAAGUAAUGUGAAUUGCAGAAUCCAGUGAAUCAUCGAAUCUUUGAACGCACCUUGCGCCCUUUGGCCAUUCCGAAGGGCAUGCCUGUUUGAGUAUCAUGAACACCUCAACUCUUUAUGGUUUUCCAUGAUGAGCUUGGACUCUGGGGGUUUUGCUGGCUCACAGUCGGCUCCUCUAAAAUGAAUUAGCUUACCAGUGUUUGGUGGGUAUCAUGGGUGUGAUAACUAUCUACGCUUGUGGUUUUUCCACCAGGUAACCUUCAGCAGUGGAGGUUCGCUGGAGCUCAUAGAUGUCUCUCCUCGGUGAGGACAGCCCUUUGAACGUUUGAUCUCAAAUCAGGUAGGACUACCCGCUGAACUUAAGCAUAUCAAUAAGCGGAGGA
Molecule: unclassified non-coding RNA, 405 nt
Filed under: soil metagenome
Description: partial contains 5.8S ribosomal RNA, internal transcribed spacer 2, and large subunit ribosomal RNA
Rfam family: 5.8S ribosomal RNA (bases 1-121)
Source: RNAcentral